This is a long non-coding RNA of Bacillus rossius redtenbacheri, 1153 nucleotides long. RefSeq lists it as uncharacterized. The transcript has 4 exons. The record is from RefSeq and is a predicted model, not a curated record. Lineage: Eukaryota; Metazoa; Arthropoda; Insecta; Phasmatodea; Bacillidae.
UGGCAGCCGCGAUGGCUGGUCGAGUCGAGGACAAGGCCUCCUGCUGUCUUCUGCGGCUGCAGCUCUCUCUCUCUCUCUCUCUCUCUCUCUCUCUCUCUGAGGGUCGACGUGCUCUGCGGCCGGUGCAUGGUGCAGUCUGCCGUCUGCGAACGUCGGUCUCCCAAGUCGACGCCAAACACAAACUGCUGAAGGCCCGUCCACAAUAGUCCCGCACCUGCGGGCGGUCCGUGUCUUCAAUGCUACUGGUGACUGAUCAACGGGAUUUCACGCUAACGUUGUGACGUUCAAGCACAGCUGUCCCGUUAUUGCUGACGAGUUCUGGAUUCACUGACGGACUGUCACCGUCGUCUGCAACUUCCGCUUACGUCAGAAGAAUUUGGUAAAGUCGAAUCAAGGAAUCAAAUAAGGGUAAUCCGGAGGCAAACUGAGAAAAGAGAAUCGACCAGAGUAUUCCAGUUUCAUUCCGAGGUCCCAAACCACGAAAGAAGGAUGUGAGAUUGCAGCAGCCGAUUUUGCAGACCAGCUCGUCCAGGCAUGUGCAGAAGCAAUGACUUGCCUACACGCACGUGGUAGUGAGGUGCAUCGUGGGGCUACGCUGUGCUACCGGCCUGGUCUCGCUCUACCUCUGCACCAAGGUCUGUCCCCGGAGGAGCUCCUGCGCUCGGCCCGCUCACAGACAAUUGACCCUAAUUCCCCUGUCUACGAUCCCCCUCCCCUCCCUGCUCCUGGUGGAUCUUCCAGCUGCGGCGCACGUGUGAGGCGGAUGCUGCGUGGACCACGUCUCCCGCGGCUCCGCGCAGCCGGCUCUCAGCUGCCACCAGGGAUGUUAGACGUACCAACUUGUUGGUACAUAUACCAUUUUUCAGGGUCUUGUACCAUGUACCAAGUAGAAAUUGUGCUGGUAUACAGAAAUACCAACUUUGAACAUCGACCAUGUGCGAUGCGCCAUGCAUUAACAAUUAACAUUAGGCGUGGACGAAUAAUUCGAAUAGUUGCGUUUCAAUAAUUUCAUCUGUAUACUUUUAAUAAAACGGCAUUUAAAGAGAAAUUUUUAAGUGCUAAUUAAUUGAAAGUAUUCAUACUAGGUGCUUACGUUUUUAUGGCCAUCUUAUAAUUUCAGAAGCUAGUUCUCUAGAAAUUGAUCACUGCGCCA